GCCAGGCGCUGGGCCAGAGUUGCGGGCUGCGGAUUAGCAGAGGGGGCACCAGCCUGUCCCCCGGGGGCCGCCGCUCCACCCUGGGAUCUCGUAGGAGGUGCGGGGCUUUGCGGCGCCCCCACCCCAGCCACGCCGGGAGCGCAGCCCCGUGGAGCUCAAUGUGGAGCUCUCAAAAGGCAGGAGGAAGAUGAAAACCAGCGCCUGCCAGGUCCCACACCAGGUGCUGAGGACACGAAGAUGAGUAAGACACACCGCUUGCCUCAGGGAGGUCCCGUUCUGUGCUGUCAAAUCACCCAGAGUGCAAGCUGACACUAAUUGACUGCUUACCAUGGGCUAGAUGCUGUUCCAGACACUUUACAUGUAUUUAUCCAUUUACUCCUCACAAAACCUAAAGAAGCAGGCGUUUUGUUAUCAUCUCACUGUUAAUCGGGCACUGAGACGGUAAGUGACUUGCCCAGGAUCCCUCUGGUUCCUGAGUCCAGGUUCUCAGAGACCCUCAAGUCUCAAGGACUCAAAACAGGCAGGCUACCCAGACUUCCUCCCACACACAAGGAAACCGAGGCCCAAAGAGGAGAAGUGACUUGCCCAACGCCACGCAGAAAAGUGGCAAGGCUGGAACUAGACCCCAACGAACAUCCUCACUGAAACAUCCAGCUGCCCUCUUUAGCUGUGUGGAUGCUCCUCACACAUAUUCCAAGACAUGAAGUGAGAAACAUUUUCUGGCAUCUGGAAACUUCCUGUUUGCAAGGACCACCCAAUAGACCUACAAGGAACCAUGGAGAGAGUGAUUUAAGGAAAGAAACAAAAUGAACUCCAAAUCAGAGAGCUGGGGGACAUUUCGGUAUCAGUGGCAUUGGGAAUGAGUUUCUUUAAGUUAAAAAUUUAUAUUUUAGUAACCAGAAAUGUCCCAUGUCUAUCAGAUGGAGUUUUACCAAUUUUCAAGGAAUCAGAAAAUGAUCAGGAUGACUACAUUUGAUACUGAACAAUGCUGAAUACCGAGUGAGGUUUUGUGGCUGUGGGUCAUUGCCAUACACAUCAGUUAGCGUGGAACCACCGGUGAGCAGAGGCCUCCAUUCUCCACCUGGACUUGCAGCCCAUGGCAUGACAGCCUGGAACAGAACACCCAGUGUGAACAUCAGGAACCAGAAGAUGCUUGGUAGCACACAUCAGAAAUGGCAGGAGAACCCUUGCUGGGUGUCAGAGCCCAAGUGACUGUGCACAGAGUGCUUGAUCAUGAAGUUAUUCUGGUGCCCCAGCCAGAAUUCCCAAACCUUAAAAAAGCAAUUGCAAGUGUCUGCAACAGACCUCCUCGUGGAAAAGCAAACCUCACAAAUAAAAUCUAGGGUUUGAAAAUAAAAUGUCUGGCCUAAUUCGAUGGUGACUGCCUUCCAGGUUGGUUUGUGUAGGGGCACUGGGACAUCGGAGCUCUGGUUCUUAUUAGAAUUCUCCUGUGCUCUCAGGAUGGGCAAACCUGGCUCAUUGCAGACUGGACCCACGGCAGGGCUGGGAAAGGGCCCUCAACCGGGAGUCAGGGACCUCAAAUGUACCAGCCAGCAGUGGCACAUCGUGUCUCCGAGAUUCAGGGCGGGGGACAACAGAAGGAAGAUGAAAAUAUUCCCUAAUACAUCUGGAGGAUUCACGUUACCCAUGCCAGGAGAAUAGCCAAGGAAGGAAACCUCAGCUCACGCCCUUCUGCAUUCUUUACAAGGACACACGGGAGUGGGGAGCGUGCCCUGAGCAGAGCGGACUCAAGCUUGGGCUCCUCUUUGAGGAGUGCUAAAAAAUCUUGCGCCCUCUGGAUGCUUUUUGAAAUUUCAAAAUGGAUGAAACAGUGACUUCAAAAAAUCAAUGCUCUCAUUGUUUUGAAGACCCAAGGAUAAUGAGGUACACUUAACUGGCAAUCAAGAAACCCUAGGGGCUGGGCACAGACAGCUCAGUCUUGCAAUCCCAGCGCUUUGGGAGGCCAAAGUGGGAGGAUUCCUUGAGGAUGGGAGUUUGAGAC
Molecule: long non-coding RNA, 2002 nt
Organism: Pongo pygmaeus (Bornean orangutan)
Lineage: Eukaryota; Metazoa; Chordata; Mammalia; Primates; Hominidae
Exons: 4
Source: RefSeq, a predicted model, not a curated record